Molecule: ribosomal RNA, 497 nt
Filed under: uncultured bacterium
Lineage: Bacteria
Description: partial 16S ribosomal RNA
Rfam family: Bacterial small subunit ribosomal RNA
Source: RNAcentral
ACGAACGCUGGCGGCGUGCCUAAUACAUGCAAGUUGAGCGCUGAAGGUUGGUACUUGUACCAACUGGAUGAGCAGCGAACGGGUGAGUAACGCGUGGGGAAUCUGCCUUUGAGCGGGGGACAACAUUUGGAAACGAAUGCUAAUACCGCAUAAAAACUUUAAACACAAGUUUUAAGUUUGAAAGAUGCAAUUGCAUCACUCAAAGAUGAUCCCGCGUUGUAUUAGCUAGUUGGUGAGGUAAAGGCUCACCAAGGCGAUGAUACAUAGCCGACCUGAGAGGGUGAUCGGCCACAUUGGGACUGAGACACGGCCCAAACUCCUACGGGAGGCAGCAGUAGGGAAUCUUCGGCAAUGGACGAAAGUCUGACCGAGCAACGCCGCGUGAGUGAAGAAGGUUUUCGGAUCGUAAAACUCUGUUGGUAGAGAAGAACGUUGGUGAGAGUGGAAAGCUCAUCAAGUGACGGUAACUACCCAGAAAGGGACGGCUAACUACGUGC